Molecule: ribosomal RNA, 254 nt
Filed under: uncultured bacterium
Lineage: Bacteria
Description: partial 16S ribosomal RNA
Rfam family: Bacterial small subunit ribosomal RNA
Source: RNAcentral
ACCGUAGGGUGCGCGCGUUGUCCGGAAUUAUUGGGCGUAAAGAGCUCGUAGGCGGUGUGUCGCGUCGGCCGUGAAAACCUGCAGCUUAACUGUGGGCUUGCGGUCGAUACGGGCAUCACUGGAGUUCGGCAGGGGAGACUGGAACUCCUGGUGUAGCGGUGAAAUGCGCAGAUAUCAGGAGGAACACCGGUGGCGAAGGCGGGUCUCUGGGCCGAUACUGACGCUGAGGAGCGAAAGCGUGGGGAGCGAACAGG